UGGGGAAUUUUGGACAAUGGGCGCAAGCCUGAUCCAGCCAUGCCGCGUGAGUGAAGAAGGCCUUCGGGUUGUAAAGCUCUUUCGGCCGGAACGAAAUCGCAGCGUCGAAUAAACGCUGUGGAUGACGGUACCGGAACAAGAAGCACCGGCUAACUACGUGCCAGCAGCCGCGGUAAUACGUAGGGUGCGAGCGUUAAUCGGAAUUACUGGGCGUAAAGCGUGCGCAGGCGGUUUGUUAAGCCAGAUGUGAAAGCCCCGGGCUCAACCUGGGAACUGCGUUUGGUACUGGCAAGCUAGAGUACGGCAGAGGGGGGUGGAAUUCCACGUGUAGCAGUGAAAUGCGUAGAGAUGUGGAGGAACACCGAUGGCGAAGGCAGCCCCCUGGGCCGAUACUGACGCUCAGGCACGAAAGCGUGGGGAGCAAACAG
Molecule: ribosomal RNA, 428 nt
Filed under: uncultured bacterium
Lineage: Bacteria
Description: bacterial SSU rRNA
Rfam family: Bacterial small subunit ribosomal RNA
Source: RNAcentral